GCGGCUGUUUAAAAAAAAAAAAACUUGGUGGAGGGGAGGGGGCUGUUGAAGAAGCAGCCGCCGGGGAGUUUCUGCGGCCUACCUCCCGGCCAUGGCGGCGGUAAAGCCGCGUCCCUGACGAGGGUCCCGGGCAGGAGGACCCUUCCCUCCAGCAGCUUUACCUCAGGAGCCCGCUCCCCGCCUUGUCACCUGUCAGCCAAGAACACCUGUCCCCUCACGGCGGCCCUCCUCCAUGCUCCGCUGAGAGCUCUGUGUCUGUCUGCAAAGGCCAUGGAGAAGAGUUUGGAAAUCAGUUUCAGCAUCAGCUUUUUGAAUCCACUGGUGUUCUUCUUUAGAAAAUCUGUCAAGUGUCUGGGCCAUCUUCCUCUAAUCUACAUAUUUAUCUGCCUCAGUGCCAUCUCUUUCUGCACAGAAGGAAGCUGGAGCAGAAGUGCUUGCCAGUCUGCAAAGCCUUUGGAAGAAGGCAAUUUGAGGUCAUCAGAUAGUGUCCAACUCCAGCUGCUAGAAGGAUUGCACUCUAUCCACUCUUGUCAAGCUGCUUGUUGUCAAACCCCAGCCUGUGAUGCAUUUUGGCUUAUGGGGACUAUCUGCAUCCAGGUGAACUGUACUAAGUCUCACAAGUGUCAGGAGAUCAGAACUGACAUGAUGGACCCCAUCAUGGUCUUUGUAACAAAAUCUGAUCUUGAUGGAGAUUCCCAGCCUGCCAAAGAGAGGCAAGCCCAUCUUCCCAAAUGGUUGAACUGGAAGGAGAGACAUCAGAGUAAAUCAAGGAUACAGAGAUCCUUCAAAGAGCUGCCUGCUCACACAUUGCAUUUAGGAAAUGUCAGGGGAAAUUCUCUAAAGCGAGAUGUGGACUCCAGUGUUGGAAGCUCUAUAAACGAUCCAGCUCCAUCAGAUGCCUUGGAUAGAAUAUCUACUCACAAGGAUCUUACAGAACCGCAGUCUUCAAGACCAGAAGCAAACCUUUCAGGAAACCAUACUGAAGUAGAAAAAAUCCUCCUGCCAAAUUAUAAGGAUUCAAAAGAACUGAAACUCCAAAUCCCAUCUUCUUCCAACAGUGAUCACAUUAACAGAGAGCAUGAUCUUGGUGGGAGUGGCUCCUUGGGGGCCCCUACAGGAGUUUCUACCCCCUAUCCCUCUUCAGCAACUAUCUUCCCCAGUCCUGUUGGGAACUCUGAGAAAACCAGACCAUCCAACAAUGUUUCCAUCCAGACCUUCUCUUUAGAAAAAGCCAUCCCAACUUCUAACAGUCUUCUGGGAAAAGAUUUGGGGAAGUUACCACAAGUUAUCCCUGUUCCAACUGGCAUUCCCAUCAAUAGUAGUGUUGCUGCAGUUCUGACGGAGCCUGCUAUGGUACCUAGUACUCCUGCCCCAACACCAGUUAUUAAGAAAUUGGCAGUUUCUGCUGGAGACAGUGUCCAGGUGACCCUGCCGAAAAAUGAAGUGGAACUGAAUGCAUAUGUCCUACCUCCACCACCUAAAGGAAGUAGCUAUUCCUAUGAUUGGAGAUUGAUUACACACCCAAAGGAUUAUAGUGGAGAGAUGGAAGGACAGCAUUCUCAGAUUCUCAAAUUGUCCAAGCUUACAGUUGGUCUAUAUGAAUUCAAUGUGAUAGUAGAUGGCGAUAACGCACACGGAGAAGGGAUGGUGAAUGUGACAGUUAAACCAGAGCCUCGAGUAAAUCAGCCACCUGUGGCCAUUGUGUCACCCCCAUUUCUGGAGAUCUCUCUUCCAACCACCUCAACAGUCAUUGAUGGCAGCCAAAGUACUGAUGAUGACAAAAUAGUCAGCUAUCACUGGGAAGAACUAAAGGGGCCUCUUCGAGAAGAGAAGGUAUCUGCUGAUACAGAUAUUCUGGAACUGACCAACCUGGUACCAGGAAAUUACACAUUCCGCCUCACUGUGGUGGAUUCUGAUGGGGCUAGCAACUCCACCACUGCUAGCCUUACAGUAAACAAAGCGGUGGAUUACCCCCCUGUGGCAAAUGCGGGCCCUAACCAAGUGAUCACUCUGCCUCAAAAUUCCAUCACCCUUUACGGAAAUCAGAGCACAGAUGACCAUGGCAUCGUCAGCUACGAAUGGUCCCUCAGUCCCAACAGCAAAGUGAAGGUAGCAGAAAUGCAGGGGGUAAGGACUUCAACUCUGCAGCUCUCAGCCAUGCGUGAAGGUGACUACACCUAUCAACUGACAGUGACAGAUUCUGCUGGCCAUCAGUCCACUGCUGAGGUCACUGUGAUUGUACAACCUGAAAACAAUAAGCCUCCCAGGGCAGAUGCCGGUCCAGACAAAGAACUCAUCCUACCAGUGGACAGCACCACUCUGGAUGGCAGCAAGAGCUCAGAUGACCAGAAGAUUGUCUCCUUCCUUUGGGAGAAAACACAGGGCCCAGAUGGUGUGAAACUGGAAAAUGCCAACAGCAGCAUAGCCACAGUCUCUGGGCUUAAAGUAGGAAUGUACAAAUUCACACUAACAGUUAAAGAUGAACGGAACUUACAAGGACAAAGUUCAGUUACUGUCAUUGUGAAAGAAGAGAUAAAUCAGCCUCCUGUGGCAAAAAUUGUGGGCAACAGUGUCACCAUCACUCUCCCUACAAACACUGCAGAGCUUGAUGGGUCCCAAUCUAUGGAUGACAAAGGAAUUGUCACCUUCCUGUGGACUCGGGAUGAGAGCAGCCCUGCAGCAGGGGAGGUGCUAAAUAAUUCGGAUCAUCAUCCCAUUCUGUUUCUCUCCAACCUGGUGGAGGGAACGUACACCUUCCAUCUGAAAGUGACUGAUGCCAAAGGGGAGAGUGAUGUAGACCGAGCCACUGUGGAAGUAAAAGCUGAUCCUAGGAAGAGCAACCUGGUGGAAAUGAUCCUAGAUGUGAACGUCAGCCACCUGACAGAGCGGCAGAAGGGCAUGUUCAUCCGUCAGAUCGGGGUUCUGCUUGGGGUCCUGGAUUCAGACAUCACAGUUCAGAAGAUCCAGGCUUACACUGAGAAGAGCACAAAGUUGGUGUUCUAUGUGCGGAAUCAGCCUCCUCACCAGAUCUUCAAAGGACGCGAUGUUGCAUGGACCCUCAAGAGUGAAUUGCGGAAGCAGCAAUCAGAUUUCCUUAUCUUCCGUGCACUGGAGAUCAAUACAGUCACCUGCCAGCUCAACUGUUCAGAUCACGGCCUCUGCGACUCUUUCACCAAGCGUUGCAUUUGUGAUCCUUUUUGGAUGGAGAACUUCAUCAAAGUGCAAAUUGGUGAUGGUGAAAGCAAUUGUGAAUGGAGUGUGCUCUACGUCGUGAUUGCAUCCUUUGUGAUUCUGGUCUCCCUUGGGAUCUUCUCUUGGGUGGUGGUCUGCUGCUGCAAAAAGAAAAAAGGAAAACCCAAAAGGAAGAGUAAGUAUAAGAUCUUGGAUGCCACGGAUCAAGAGAGCCUGGAGCUGAAGCCAAAUUCCAAAGCAGGCAGCAAGCAGAAAUCCCAGGCACAGAAUACCAGUCUGAUGCAUUCGGAGUCUGAACUGGACAGCGACGAAGCCAUCUUCACUUGGCCUGACCGGGAGAAGGGAAAACUCCUCCACGGCCAGAAUGGCUUUCUGAGAAAUGGGCAGGUGAUACUGAAGCCAAAAACCCAGCGAGAAGAGAUUCUAUAGCGACAGGCCUGUGUCACAAAGAGUUGGCAAAUGAUACAAAAGACCACUCUCUUAAUCCUCGGUUGCACGAGGAACCUUGGGAGUAUACCACUGUUUGGAGAGUCCUUCUCUCUUUGCCGAUAAUCUCUAAGAAAAUGUUGAGUCAAACUGCCAGUACUUGAAUUUGGACUCAAAAGGGAAAUUUAAUUUUGGCAAAAGAAGCUGUGAAACAAAGACUAUGAAGGGUAGGUGAGGUUCUGAAAACAAUGCAGAACUUCCCAGCCACUCCUGUGAAAAGGCAUCUAUUUGCGUAGGGCUGCAGUACAGAUCCGAGGCUACUCAUGCAAGCAUUUGUUUGCUACAGAGUUGGCAACCUUCUUCACACACUCUUCUGUAUUGUUUGUGAGAACACACUCUGUAGUUGGUCUUGAAAGCUGAGAUGCCUUGAACUAUAUUCCCCGCCCCCCCCAACCAAUUCACUCCUAGGAAAACUUUCCUGAUUCACCAUCAUUUAUGAGCUUCAUUUUCCAGAAAUGGAAGAAGCCAAGCAUUGUCUCCAUGGCAAGUGAAGAAACUGCAUUUUGACUAGGAUGGUAAAUUCCCCUUUUAAGUUUUUGCCCGUGGUGAGAAUUGAGAUGGAGCCUCCAGAUCACUGGUUGCUCUGGCUCUUUUCCUCCACACACUGCAUCAACCCUGAAAGUUUUUCUCACUGGUAGUCAGUCACACUGUAAAACAACAGGCUCCUUUGCCUGUGAAAAAUACUGAUGUGUCGUCUUGCAAAAAAAAAACAAAAAACCCACCUUUGCACAAGUGGAAAAUGAGGAAGAAGAAGAUCAAAAGACAAAUGUAGACAAAUGGAUUCCAAUACUGCCCAGUAGAUCAAUGCCUCCUCCUCUCCUAUUGCACCACCUCUUUAUUGUUGUUCAUCCCAUGCACAUUGUGUGCUUCCCAAUGAAAAUGUUGGUUAUCCCAUGUCAGAAACACCCCCCCCCUUUUUUUUUUUUACCUAGAGCAAAUGCAGGCAUCUCCACUAACAGCUCAUUUGGUGGAAAUCACAAGUUACCAAGCAAUGUGAACCAGCUCCCUUUCCUUCUUCUAAGAUGAUGGAAAAUGCUUCCUAGUUUCAUUAGGGGUGUUAGAGGUGGAAUUCUUGAAUUUGAGGGUUCCCUGAAAAUGAACAACCUUGUCCUAGGUGAAGGAAGGUUCUUGGGUGUUCUACUUCCAGCAGACCAAAGGUUGGAAUGGGGUCUAAGUUGCCAUGGGGAUGUUCACAGGAGGAAUAUUUUGCUUCCUCACCAAGCACAGAGAAAUUCCUGGAUAGUACUGGAGAAUCGAGGACUUUCAGGGGUCUGGACAUAAAAAAUCUCUGUCCAGAACAAAUACCUCUUCAAAGGUCAAGGUCUUUUGAUCCCUAGAGCCCACGUGGACAGCUGCAGACAUAAAUUAUUCUUGAGGAAAAGGAGCGAUAUAUGAUGAUAGAAGCCUCUUUGAGUGGUUUCUUUUCCUUUAUUGUACUGAAAUGUACUUCAUUUUAGGUCAAUGUGAAUAAGAGCCAGUUUGGUGUGGUGGUUAAGGAGACUCUGAGUUCUGGUCCCACCUUAAGGCAUGAUAGCUGGCUGGGUGACUUUGGACCAAUCAGUUACCAAUACAUGUCAUAAUAUUGUGGAGAAAAAAGGAGGAGGAAGGAGUGUUAGGUAUGUUCAUUGCCUUGCGUUAUUUAUAAAGCAAUAAAGGUGAGAUAAACAGCUAAUAAACAAUCAUAUUAGCUCUCAGUGCCCAUUUGCUGAAAAUGAUGACAUUUCCGACCACCCUAAUGCUUCUGAAAGUUGGGUGUCUUUCAUAACAAGAAGCAAAUUCUGUGCAGGUUCUGUAGUGAUGUUCCAAAUGUAACCGAUGAAGAAAAUGGAACAAGCCCCUGCCCUGUGAGUCAAGACUGGUGGGCAGGAAGGUUCUGAAGCGCGUUUGGGGACUCUGAGAAGAACACAUUACUUGGAGGCUGGACAAUUUAUAUUCAUGAGCAGUAGGCUUUGGCUAUGAAUAAAGAUGGGUUUGAACUUCAUGUACAAAUAAAAUUAGCAUAGAUUUUACACAGGGAGUUGACAUAUGCAAUCUUAAAACAAACCUAAGCAGGUCUUAGUUGGUACCCAGGUGGCAAACCACAAUUCCAGGACAACUCACUGGACUGGAUGAGGCAGUGGGAGAAUACCUUUAAAUUACAUUCCAUCCCUUUAGAUGUGUUCAUAAAGUCACAGGAACUGAGCUUGACUCAGAGGAGUCUUUAGUUUUAUUGUAUGCGAGUGGGGAAUAGCUCCUAAGUGAAUGGAUGGGUGGGGGAGAUGACUCUAGAUCAGGGGUGUCAAACUCGCCUUGUCAUGGCGUCAUCACGUGACAUUGCAACUUUUUUCCCCUUUGCUAAACCGGGCAUGGGUGUGGCCAGCACAUGAGGCAUCUGGGCUGUGGGCUGUGAGUUUGACACCCCUGCUCUAGAUGAUCUACUAAGUGCAGGGGUGUUGGCACAGGGCUCAAGGUGGCAGCCACAACCAACUAGAGGGUCACAGCCAGUGUAAAAAUGAUGAGGCUCCAGUCACAUGAUUGAGCCCACCGUCUUGAUUUCUUGGACACCCACAUUGAUAUCCUGAAUAAAUAUAACUGGGUCUUUCA
This is an RNA transcript of Ahaetulla prasina, 6261 nucleotides long. It is a transcript of the gene named KIAA0319 like, with no coding region annotated. The record is from RefSeq and is a predicted model, not a curated record. Lineage: Eukaryota; Metazoa; Chordata; Lepidosauria; Squamata; Colubridae. The transcript has 22 exons.